RNAcentral lists this ribosomal RNA (237 nucleotides) under uncultured bacterium. RNAcentral describes it as "partial 16S ribosomal RNA". It matches the Rfam family "Bacterial small subunit ribosomal RNA", at positions 99 to 334 of the family's 1533-position model. The record is from RNAcentral.
CGCACGGGUGAGUAACACGUAUCCAACCUGCCGUCUACUCUUGGCCAGCCUUCUGAAAGGAAGAUUAAUCCAGGAUGGGAUCAUGAGUUCACAUGUCCGCAUGAUUAAAGGUAUUUUCCGGUAGACGAUGGGGAUGCGUUCCAUUAGAUAGUAGGCGGGGUAACGGCCCACCUAGUCAACGAUGGAUAGGGGUUCCGAGAGGAAGGUCCCCCACAUUGGAACUGAGACACGGUCCAA